This 119-nucleotide ribosomal RNA is filed under the name Pteropus alecto (black flying fox). Lineage: Eukaryota; Metazoa; Chordata; Mammalia; Chiroptera; Pteropodidae. RNAcentral also lists the same sequence under 1 other name. The record is from RNAcentral.
GUCUACAGCCAUGCUACCCUGAACAAGCUGGAUCCUGUCUGAUCUCGUAAGCUAAGCAGGGUUGGGCCUGGUUAGUACUUGGAUGGGAGACCACCUAGGAAGACCAGGUGCUGUAGGCA